CACAUGCUGUGAGCUCGAUGAGUAGGGCGGGACACGUGGUAUCCUGUCUGAAUAUGGGGGGACCAUCCUCCAAGGCUAAAUACUCCUGACUGACCGAUAGUGAACCAGUACCGUGAGGGAAAGGCGAAAAGAACCCCGGCGAGGGGAGUGAAAAAGAACCUGAAACCGUGUACGUACAAGCAGUGGGAGCACAGAGCAAUCUGUGUGACUGCGUACCUUUUGUAUAAUGGGUCAGCGACUUAUAUUCUGUAGCAAGGUUAACCGAAUAGGGGAGCCGAAGGGAAACCGAGUCUUAACUGGGCGUUAAGUUGCAGGGUAUAGACCCGAAACCCGGUGAUCUAGCCAUGGGCAGGUUGAAGGUUGGGUAACACUAACUGGAGGACCGAACCGACUAAUGUUGAAAAAUUAGCGGAUGACUUGUGGCUGGGGGUGAAAGGCCAAUCAAACCGGGAGAUAGCUGGUUCUCCCCGAAAGCUAUUUAGGUAGCGCCUCGUGAAUUCAUCUCCGGGGGUAGAGCACUGUUUCGGCAAGGGGGUCAUCCCGACUUACCAACCCGAUGCAAACUGCGAAUACCGGAGAAUGUUAUCACGGGAGACACACGGCGGGUGCUAACGUCCGUCGUGAAGAGGGAAACAACCCAGACCGCCAGCUAAGGUCCCAAAGUCAUGGUUAAGUGGGAAACGAUGUGGGAAGGCCCAGACAGCCAGGAUGUUGGCUUAGAAGCAGCCAUCAUUUAAAGAAAGCGUAAUAGCUCACUGGUCGAGUCGGCCUGCGCGGAAGAUGUAACGGGGCUAAACCAUGCACCGAAGCUGCGGCAGCGACACUAUGUGUUGUUGGGUAGGGGAGCGUUCUGUAAGCCUGUGAAGGUGUGCUGUGAGGCAUGCUGGAGGUAUCAGAAGUGCGAAUGCUGACAUAAGUAACGAUAAAGCGGGUGAAAAGCCCGCUCGCCGGAAGACCAAGGGUUCCUGUCCAACGUUAAUCGGGGCAGGGUGAGUCGACCCCUAAGGCGAGGCCGAAAGGCGUAGUCGAUGGGAAACAGGUUAAUAUUCCUGUACUUGGUGUUACUGCGAAGGGGGGACGGAGAAGGCUAUGUUGGCCGGGCGACGGUUGUCCCGGUUUAAGCGUGUAGGCUGGUUUUCCAGGCAAAUCCGGAAAAUCAAGGCUGAGGCGUGAUGACGAGGCACUACGGUGCUGAAGCAACAAAUGCCCUGCUUCCAGGAAAAGCCUCUAAGCAUCAGGUAACAUCAAAUCGUACCCCAAACCGACACAGGUGGUCAGGUAGAGAAUACCAAGGCGCUUGAGAGAACUCGGGUGAAGGAACUAGGCAAAAUGGUGCCGUAACUUCGGGAGAAGGCACGCUGAUAUGUAGGUGAAGCGACUUGCUCGUGGAGCUGAAAUCAGUCGAAGAUACCAGCUGGCUGCAACUGUUUAUUAAAAACACAGCACUGUGCAAACACGAAAGUGGACGUAUACGGUGUGACGCCUGCCCGGUGCCGGAAGGUUAAUUGAUGGGGUCAGCGCAAGCGAAGCUCUUGAUCGAAGCCCCGGUAAACGGCGGCCGUAACUAUAACGGUCCUAAGGUAGCGAAAUUCCUUGUCGGGUAAGUUCCGACCUGCACGAAUGGCGUAAUGAUGGCCAGGCUGUCUCCACCCGAGACUCAGUGAAAUUGAACUCGCUGUGAAGAUGCAGUGUACCCGCGGCAAGACGGAAAGACCCCGUGAACCUUUACUAUAGCUUGACACUGAACAUUGAGCCUUGAUGUGUAGGAUAGGUGGGAGGCUUUGAAGUGUGGACGCCAGUCUGCAUGGAGCCGACCUUGAAAUACCACCCUUUAAUGUUUGAUGUUCUAACGUUGACCCGUAAUCCGGGUUGCGGACAGUGUCUGGUGGGUAGUUUGACUGGGGCGGUCUCCUCCUAAAGAGUAACGGAGGAGCACGAAGGUUGGCUAAUCCUGGUCGGACAUCAGGAGGUUAGUGCAAUGGCAUAAGCCAGCUUGACUGCGAGCGUGACGGCGCGAGCAGGUGCGAAAGCAGGUCAUAGUGAUCCGGUGGUUCUGAAUGGAAGGGCCAUCGCUCAACGGAUAAAAGGUACUCCGGGGAUAACAGGCUGAUACCGCCCAAGAGUUCAUAUCGACGGCGGUGUUUGGCACCUCGAUGUCGGCUCAUCACAUCCUGGGGCUGAAGUAGGUCCCAAGGGUAUGGCUGUUCGCCAUUUAAAGUGGUACGCGAGCUGGGUUUAGAACGUCGUGAGACAGUUCGGUCCCUAUCUGCCGUGGGCGCUGGAGAACUGAGGGGGGCUGCUCCUAGUACGAGAGGACCGGAGUGGACGCAUCACUGGUGUUCGGGUUGUCAUGCCAAUGGCACUGCCCGGUAGCUAAAUGCGGAAGAGAUAAGUGCUGAAAGCAUCUAAGCACGAAACUUGCCCCGAGAUGAGUUCUCCCUGACUCCUUGAGAGUCCUGAAGGAACGUUGAAGACGACGACGUUGAUAGGCCGGGUGUGUAAGCGCAGCGAUGCGUUGAGCUAACCGGUACUAAUGAACCGUGAGG
RNAcentral lists this ribosomal RNA (2546 nucleotides) under Escherichia coli. Its description in RNAcentral is "partial 23S ribosomal RNA". It matches the Rfam family "Bacterial large subunit ribosomal RNA", at positions 391 to 2915 of the family's 2925-position model. The record is from RNAcentral. Lineage: Bacteria; Pseudomonadati; Pseudomonadota; Gammaproteobacteria; Enterobacterales; Enterobacteriaceae.